RNAcentral lists this ribosomal RNA (446 nucleotides) under uncultured bacterium. RNAcentral's name for it is "partial 16S ribosomal RNA". It matches the Rfam family "Bacterial small subunit ribosomal RNA", at positions 338 to 795 of the family's 1533-position model. The record is from RNAcentral.
CCUACGGGGCGCAGCAGUCGAGAAUCAUUCACAAUGGGGGAAACCCUGAUGGUGCGACGCCGCGUGGGGGUAUGAAGGUCUUCGGAUUGCAAACCCCUGUCAUGUGGGAGCCAAUUAACAAGAUAGUACCACAUGAGGAAGAGACGGCUAACUCUGUGCCAGCAGCCGCGGUAAUACAGAGGUCUCAAGCGUUGUUCGGAAUCACUGGGCGUAAGGCGUGCGUAGGCUGUUUCGUAAGUCGUGUGUGAAAGGCGCGGGCUCAACCCGCGGACGGCACAUGAUACUGCGAGACUAGAGUAAUGGAAGAGGAACCGGAAUGCUCGGUGGAGCAGUGAAAUGCGUAGAUAUCGAGAGGAACACUCGUGGCGAAGGCGGGUUCCUGGACAUUAACUGACGCUGAGGCACGAAGGCCAGGGGAGCGAAAGGGAUUAGAUACCCCAGUAGUC